GUCAGUGUAGUUUUAUGGUUUAAGCAUUAGAGUGUGACUCUGGAGACCAGGGUUUGAAUCCCUGCUUGGCU
This 71-nucleotide transfer RNA is filed under the name Anolis carolinensis (green anole). It matches the Rfam family "tRNA". Rfam says of the family: Transfer RNA (tRNA) molecules are approximately 80 nucleotides in length. Their secondary structure includes four short double-helical elements and three loops (D, anti-codon, and T loops). Further hydrogen bonds mediate the characteristic L-shaped molecular structure. tRNAs have two regions of fundamental functional importance: the anti-codon, which is responsible for specific mRNA codon recognition, and the 3' end, to which the tRNAs corresponding amino acid is attached (by aminoacyl-tRNA synthetases). tRNAs cope with the degeneracy of the genetic code in two manners: having more than one tRNA (with a specific anti-codon) for a particular amino acid; and 'wobble' base-pairing, i.e. permitting non-standard base-pairing at the 3rd anti-codon position. The record is from Rfam by way of RNAcentral. Lineage: Eukaryota; Metazoa; Chordata; Lepidosauria; Squamata; Anolidae.